GCUAUAUUCCUCUCACAAAGGUGGAGGAGAAAUUACAUGUUGAGCAAAUAUCUAACUAUCACAGUUACUACAGAGGGGGACUUACUAACCCAAGGUCAAACCUGCCUGAUCACAACAGAAGAAAGUGCCACACAUGUGGUCAUACCCUUCAUUGUGACGUGAGUGCUCUGUGCCUUGGGAUUCCAGCUGAAGACCAACAUGCCCACAAGAAGUCUAACCCUCUCCUGGUCUUUCCAAGAAAGGCAUCUUGAAUGAAGGCCAGAAAUUAGCAACAAAAUUGCAGAAGGGAGUGAUAUGCAGGAAGACCUGAAAGGGAGAAGUUUGCAAACGAGGAACUGGCACUGUUGAUCUAGCACUGUCCAUGGGCUACAUCUCCGAGCAUGGCUGACGUGGCUACAGAGCAUUAUAAAGUGAAAGUUUUCAAAGGGAAUGCAGGGGACCUUGAGGCAAAUGGAAAAGGAGACUUACGAGGUUUGCCGCACCUUCCUGACAGGCACCCAGGACCCGACCCUGGAUCCAAGCAGUAUUUUGCAGUUCCUGUUAAAAUCAGAGGAGGAAGACCGGACUCUACAUCCUUUAGGCUUGUCAUUUUGAGCUCCCAGUCAAAUUAGAGAGACGGCACACCAUUCCCAAAUUGCUGAAUGGCCGAGCAAACCUUUUGCACCCUCAUCUUCACACAUCUUUCACGGACCACCUCAAUCAGAUGUGAACUGAUAUUCCUAAGAGACAAGUGAGGAAGGGGAUGCUUCUGCAUCUGUCUUUUGAGGAGCAAAGCAGCAGAUCUCUCUGACAGCAUAAUGUUCUGUCAUUCCUUUCAACUCAGGAACUGAGCUGACAGCUCCCCCAGAAACUGUGCCUCCUCCAUCUUUUCUCACCCCCAGAAAGCGCUCCUGGAAACAAAGAGGACAACUAUAAUGGGUGUGACCCAAGAAGUCCUAAUGGGCAGGCCAAAUGAAGGGCAGGCCAAAUGAAGAGCAGACGGAUGGGGCUGUAUCAGAUCUGAGACAAGGAUUUGAGUGCAAGUAGUUUAUAGGAGAGCUGAUUCCAGGUAAGAGAGUGCAGAGUAAAAUACAGGGCAGGAAAGGAAGCCAGUUGCAGGUUUUCAAUAUGGGCAACUGGGACUCAGCCCACAGGGAACCUCUGGGAGACUGUGUGGAACAUGCUCACAUUUGUCAUGCCCAAGGGCAAAGAAGCUGGGUAUUUAUGUUCUAUUCUUUCCCUGGUUGAGAGCUGUUCUCAGGGGUGCUAACUCCCUGGCAGUACUACCCUCUGGUUGAGCACGCUUCAAGUAGAGAAGACCACCAGGCAGAGGGAUCAGGUGCUUGCAGAAGAAAACCAUUAGCUGGGAAGGGAAUGGUGAGUGCAGAGAGGAUAAGUUUAGAGACUCCAACUGUGUCUGCCAACCCCAGGUGACUCCAUUCCAUUAUCAUUUGAUCCCAGGUCUGAGGAAGUAAAAGAGAAGCACGAAGAGAGAGGAAGGAGAGAGAGACGGAGGAGAGGGUAGAGGGCACCAUUAGGAACAUGGUGGGCUGUCUAUUCAUGGGCAGUCACUUUGAAAUUAUCUUCUUUGCCAUCUAUGCAACCUGUUUUCUCAUCUGUUGAAUGAGAAUAAUAGAAUUCUGUAUCCCAUGAGGUGGGAUUACAUGAGCUAAUGUGUGUGAAGCACUUAGAACACUGUCUGGCACAAGUACAUUCUCAAUUAUUGACUCAGCUUUGCCUGGUUCGUAGGCUUGAGAAUAUAUUGGAAACCCCUUUCCCACCCAUGAUGUAGAGAUUGAAAUCACUCUUAAUGUCUCAAUCUGAGGCAAAAAGAUUUUGGGAGACUCCUGCCAUACUAAGUCAGAUCCUCAAGCUCUUGGAUGGGCCUCACCUCCUAGACAAUUCCUUUCCCGUGAUUACCAUCCAGUUGAGCAGUCUAUACGAUGAGCCUCUGCUUUGGAGUCCUGCCCAGUGUUCAUGACCCCACCAAGGGUGGAGCCUUGCCCUGCACCCCUGUCCCAGUUGGCAAGAAC
Molecule: long non-coding RNA, 2012 nt
Organism: Pan paniscus (pygmy chimpanzee)
Lineage: Eukaryota; Metazoa; Chordata; Mammalia; Primates; Hominidae
Source: Ensembl